Molecule: ribosomal RNA, 761 nt
Filed under: Psychrobacter cryohalolentis
Lineage: Bacteria; Pseudomonadati; Pseudomonadota; Gammaproteobacteria; Moraxellales; Moraxellaceae
Description: bacterial SSU rRNA
Rfam family: Bacterial small subunit ribosomal RNA
Source: RNAcentral
UGCACGCUGGCGGCAGGCUUAACACAUGCAAGUCGAGCGGAAACGAUGAUAGCUUGCUAUCAGGCGUCGAGCGGCGGACGGGUGAGUAAUACUUAGGAAUCUACCUAGUAGUGGGGGAUAGCACGGGGAAACUCGUAUUAAUACCGCAUACGACCUACGGGAGAAAGGGGGCAGUUUACUGCUCUCGCUAUUAGAUGAGCCUAAGUCGGAUUAGCUAGAUGGUGGGGUAAAGGCCUACCAUGGCGACGAUCUGUAGCUGGUCUGAGAGGAUGAUCAGCCACACCGGGACUGAGACACGGCCCGGACUCCUACGGGAGGCAGCAGUGGGGAAUAUUGGACAAUGGGGGAAACCCUGAUCCAGCCAUGCCGCGUGUGUGAAGAAGGCCUUUUGGUUGUAAAGCACUUUAAGCAGUGAAGAAGACUCUUCGGUUAAUACCCGGAGACGAUGACAUUAGCUGCAGAAUAAGCACCGGCUAACUCUGUGCCAGCAGCCGCGGUAAUACAGAGGGUGCAAGCGUUAAUCGGAAUUACUGGGCGUAAAGGGAGCGUAGGUGGCUCGAUAAGUCAGAUGUGAAAUCCCCGGGCUCAACCUGGGAACUGCAUCUGAUACUGUUGAGCUAGAGUAUGUGAGAGGAAGGUAGAAUUCCAGGUGUAGCGGUGAAAUGCGUAGAGAUCUGGAGGAAUACCGAUGGCGAAGGCAGCCUUCUGGCAUAAUACUGACACUGAGGCUCGAAAGCGUGGGAUAGCAAACAGGAUUAGAU